UUUUCUUCUGUCUGUAUACGACUCUCUGGAGAAUGCACUGCCAUGGAGAUGGACAAGGUUGGAAAUUCCUGAAGUCAUGGAAGUUGUUGCUUCCCCAUGUGAAGCCAUCCCAACAAAUCACUUAACUCCACAAAACUUGAAACAUAGGUACAUAUGAGGAUCCUGGCUAAGGAACCAUAUCGACAGACUGGGUCCUGAAUCUUACUCAAGGUCUUGUUGCUGGCAUUUUCUUCAAAAGACAAGAACUACACUUUAACAAAUGGGCUUCAUGCUGACAUGCGGAUAGAUGUAGCCCAAACAGAGGGCUGGCCAGGCACAGGGAAAGGAGAUUGCUGCACAAUUCAAAGGAAGUGUAUGUUCUACACACUCCUCCUGUGCGUUAUGGUUCUGAGGGAGGUACUGUACCGCACUGAGAUACUGGGCUUUCCAGAGGUCCCCCAGAUGUUAUGGCUCUGCAUUGCCCCAAUGCUGAAAAGGGUACAUGACCAUGAAGUCUCCUGCUAUAGAGUCAGAUUGACUCUGCUGGCUACGCGCAACUGUAAAUUGGCUGGAAGAAUACUUUUUAUGGCAGAAUGAAGGAAACCAUUGUGCUCUUGGCCACAGACUGAAAGCACCUUUAUAGGGAGUGAUGAUGAUUCCAUGAGCUUCUACUAGUGGGCACAUAUUUACAUCACAUACUAUUGCUUCCAAUCCCUUAUUCUGGAUCACUGAUUGACAGCACUGACAAAAACAAAUCACAGAGAUGACAAAGUACCCAAGGAGGGAAGGAUUAUUGUCCCAACUUUUCAGAUGGGGAAACAGAGGCACAUAAUUUUUAAGUGACUUGUUCAAGGUGACAGAACAGAUCAGUGCCAUGGCAGGAAUAGAACCCAAGUCUCCUGACUCCCAGGGUUUAACCAUAAUUUUAAAAUAUGCAGAACUACUUUAUUAUUAGGACUUCUUGCAAUGGAAAAGCGCUCUGCCAUGGAUGAAAAUGAAGUUUUGCAUUUUUCUGAUGCAUGGAGGCAAUUUGUGAAUACUGCCUGAAAGGGAAAAGAAGUGGAAAGGAGUUGAAUUACAUCUGUAUGACUUUUGGCUACUUCUAGGAAGAUUCUUAAGUUGCAAGCUAUUUUCUGACAGGGACUGGGUCUUUCUGUGUGUUACUGUGCCUAGCACAUUUUGCCCCACUGUCGUAGUAUACAUCAUCACAGUAAUGGAGAUGAGUCCAAAUCAAAGCCAUGGAUCCCAACUAUGUGAAGAGAAGGGUUUGACAUCUGGAUCAGAAUUAUGCAGCUUGAGCUGCUCUCUAUUUAUAAGAUCUGCCAUUAAUUGAAUGUGCCAAUCUAGUGGCAGUGAGAUGGUAGAGUGGGGAAGGUCAGAGAAAGGAGUGGGGCAGGAUCGAUCUUUUCCUUCCUACUCUACCACUGAUCUGACAUGAAGGGAUGGUGGGAGUUUGCAUACUUUGGGAUUUACAAGUGAGCAGAGCAUUUGGUGCUCUUGUUGGUAGAAGCCCCGUAUUGCUUCUAAAUCUUAAAGGUCUGAGGUCCUGGGGUACAACAGAAGGGUUACUCUGUCCUGCUGGAAUUGUGUGGGGUGAAAGAAAAGGCUGCCUAACUGCCUCCUAAGGAUCACACUCCUUCCUGAAGAGGAGACGUUGGUGCCCUGCCCCACCCCAGCAGCAGCUGCUAUCAGACUAGAAGGGAGUGGGCUGCUUAGUUAACACUCUUCCUUCAAGAGGACACAUCAGUGAUGGUUUGGAGAACAACAUUAUGGAUCCAAAUAGAUAGUGUGGUCAGUGGAGAGUAGAUUGUCUUUGAAAAGAAGGAGCCAGGGCCUAUUGAUGGAGUGGGGAAGGAAGAGGGCAAAAAGUUCAGAUAAGCAUCAAAGUUUAGGCUGUUUAGCCAAACCUCUGAACCUUUUGAGAGUUCAUUCAGAGUUCACCCAUUAGCAUGUAUUCUCCUACAUUUCUUCCUAAACUCAUUUCCUUACAUGGAAGUUUUGUUCAUAAUCUGACUCUGCUUAACCCUGUCGGCACCACUUAUUUCCCUAAUGGGGAGAAGAUCCACUAAUGGGAGGAGGAAGAGGGUGUUGGGAUGACUGGGAUUUUCAAAGGAGCCAAACUCCCACUGAAAUUCAACCCUGUUCAAUUUCCUUGAGAAUCACAGCUGAUGAAGCUACAUUGUCAAUUCCUUACUCUCUCUAAUCUCAUAUUAAUUUGAACAUUUUUAAGUACUACUGCUGAAUUGAUUGGUUAACCUAAGUAGGCUAGUCUUGUCAGAGGGCACUGCAGAGUCAGUAAUUAUAGAAGGGAGAACACAUAUGUUAGUAAGUUAAUAACCAUCUAAUGUAUAUGGGUUUCCAUAUUCUAUGAUUUGUUGUAGUCACAUAUGACUGACAUUUUACCUUAUUCCUUUCAAGAAACAUACACUUUCAAUAUAUUUUGUUGGUGAAUGGCAUUGGCAUAGUCUCACUGUUUUUGUUGGACAAGUCUCCAUAUUUUACAGGAACUACCAUCAUCCCAUUUGGCCCUAAUUUAUACUUGUAUGGGUACUCUCAGCAUAAAGGCUGAGGAUGAAAUAGGCAUAGAGACUGACCUAUCCUAUUACCCGUAGAACUGAUCCCAAUAGCCUGGGGAUGUGAUGCAGUUUUGCAAAACUUACCCUGCUACUCCCUCUACUGUUUCUGUCCUGUGGACAUUAAUCCUUCAAGAUGCUGAGCACUCUGGCCCUGAUCCAGCAAAGCACAUAAGAACAUACUUGACAUUAUUUUGAGUGGUCACAUUCCCUUUACUGGAUUAGGGCCAGAGUGCUCAACACCUUGCAAGGUCAAGCCCAAAUGUAGGGCUUCAAUGCCUAGGGAUGCCAUUCUAUACCCUUUCAUGAUCGGUAACCUUCAGAAACUCCAAUAAUUGAACACCUUUUUAUUUAUUUAUUUAUAUAUUCUAAUAUUUUCUUUGUAAAAGGCUAAUGACACAAGUCCUGAGCUGUCCCAUUUGGACAAUUUUUAUUGCAAUGGUGGUAAAAGCUCUCAGAAUUUUACAGCUCAGAGCAUGCCAUUCUCACAUUCCCAUUUCAGUGUAAAAAUCUGCUGCAGAUGGAUUCUCAGGAGCAACAUGGAUUUUAGACAGUUAAAACAUGGGACUCAAAGCUGGAAUAAAACUUGAAAAAAACCAAGCCCUUUAACACAAAACAGAUUUGUUUUUAAAAGUGCAUCAGAUUCUCAUAAAACUGUAUAGAAGUUUUCUGGAACCAUAUAAUAGAAGUUAUUUUUCUUUAUUUGUUAAGAGACAAAUAUUUAUAUUUAGUUGCUCUGGCAUUUCUGCAAAGCAGUUCUGGGCCAUCUCAUUAAAAAGGAUUGGAGUCAAUUAUCUGCUUUAUUGAGUAUUUGUUUUCAUUUGUGUGAUCUUUGUACUGCUCACAGGAUAAUUUUUGUGUGGUGGGGAAACUCAUUAGAGCUCUGACUAUACUGUGCCUGCUAUGUUCCUACAGUUUUGAAAGUCUGAAAAAUUCUCUAUACGUGACCUGAAUUUGAUUGGAACUGUAAUCUGGUGCAGCUACCUUGGUUUCAUUAAAAUGUGAGAAAGCAUGUGCUUGUAUUCAUUACAAUUUAUAAUUACCUCAGUUUUUGCUGCUUGAUGCAAAUUAAAGCUGGCCUUUAUUCAAACAUGGAAGGUACAGCAUCAAAUCAACAACUUUAUUUUAUCGU
Molecule: non-coding RNA, 3684 nt
Organism: Caretta caretta (loggerhead turtle)
Lineage: Eukaryota; Metazoa; Chordata; Testudines; Cheloniidae
Source: RefSeq, a predicted model, not a curated record